ACAUAAUUUUACGGAUAAGGUGCCCCCCAGGGGGAGAAUAGGGAAGUCUGAGUAUGGGAAAGACUAUACAAUAGGCGCGGGCCCACCACUGUACCAGGGAGAUCUUACACGGCCACUCGUCAAGGGGAAGGCGUAAGAGUUAAUGAACUGGGAGCCAGGAGACCUGCCUUAUACCGCAACCAUCC
Molecule: non-coding RNA, 185 nt
Filed under: Sporomusa sphaeroides
Lineage: Bacteria; Bacillati; Bacillota; Negativicutes; Selenomonadales; Sporomusaceae
Also listed under: 1 other name
Source: RNAcentral